AUUGAACGCUGGCGGAAUGCUUUACACAUGCAAGUCGAACGGUAGAGGGGGCAACCCCUCGAGAGUGGCGAACGGGUGAGUAAUAUAUCGGAACGUGCCCAGUCGUGGGGGAUAACGUAGCGAAAGUUACGCUAAUACCGCAUACGAUCUAAGGAUGAAAGCGGGGGAUCGCAAGACCUCGCGCGAUUGGAGCGGCCGAUAUCAGAUUAGGUAGGUGGUGGGGUAAAGGCUCACCAAGCCAACGAUCUGUAGCUGGGCUGGGAGGACGACCGGCCACACUGGAACUGAGACACGGCCCAGACUCCUACGGGAGGCAGCAGUGGGGAAUUUUGGACAAUGGACGCAAGUCUGAUCCAGCCAUUCCGCGUGCAGGAUGAAGGCCCUCGGGUUGUAAACUGCUUUUGUACGGAACGAAGAGGUCUCUCUUAAUACGGGGGACUCAUGACGGUACCGUAAGAAUAAGCACCGGCUAACUACGUGCCAGCAGCCGCCGUAA
This 496-nucleotide ribosomal RNA is filed under the name uncultured bacterium. Its description in RNAcentral is "partial 16S ribosomal RNA". It matches the Rfam family "Bacterial small subunit ribosomal RNA", at positions 30 to 523 of the family's 1533-position model. The record is from RNAcentral.